GACGAACGCUGGCGGCGUGCUUAACACAUGCCAGUCGAACGGAAAGGCCCUGCUUUUGUGGGGUGCUCGAGUGGCGAACGGGUGAGUAACACGUGAGUAACCUGCCCUUGACUUUGGGAUAACUUCAGGAAACUGGGGCUAAUACCGGAUAGGAGCUCCUGCUGCAUGGUGGGGGUUGGAAAGUUUCGGCGGUUGGGGAUGGACUCGCGGCCUAUCAGCUUGUUGGUGGGGUAGUGGCUUACCAAGGCUUUGACGGGUAGCCGGCCUGGGAGGGUGACCGGCCACAUUGGGACUGAGAUACGGCCCAGACUCCUACGGGAGGCAGCAGUGGGGAAUAUUGCACAAUGGGCGGAAGCCUGAUGCAGCAACGCCGCGUGCGGGAUGACGGCCUUCGGGUUGUAAACCGCUUUCGCCUGUGACGAAGCGUGAGUGACGGUAAUGUGUAAAGAAGCACCGGCUAACUACGUG
RNAcentral lists this ribosomal RNA (468 nucleotides) under uncultured bacterium. RNAcentral's name for it is "partial 16S ribosomal RNA". It matches the Rfam family "Bacterial small subunit ribosomal RNA", at positions 28 to 507 of the family's 1533-position model. The record is from RNAcentral.